AGGUGUGUUUAUUAGAAUGAAAACCAUAUGCUUCGGCAUGAUAGUGAGUAAUAGUAACCUAUCGUAUCGCAUGCCUAAUGUAGCGAUGAGUCUUUCAAGUUUCUGCCCUAUCAGCUUUCGAUGGUAGUAUAUGGGCCUACCAUGGCAGUAACGGGUAACGAAGAAUUUGGGUUCGAUUUCGGAGAGGGAGCCUGAGAGAUGGCUACCACAUCCAAGGAAGGCAGCAGGCGGGUAAAUUACCCAAUCCUGACACAGGGAGGUAGUGACAAUAAAUCACAAUGCGGGACUAUCAGUCUUGCAAUUGGAUUGAGAACAAUGUA
This 320-nucleotide ribosomal RNA is filed under the name Blastocystis sp. RNAcentral describes it as "SSU rRNA". It matches the Rfam family "Eukaryotic small subunit ribosomal RNA", at positions 199 to 527 of the family's 1831-position model. The record is from RNAcentral. Lineage: Eukaryota; Bigyra; Opalinata; Blastocystidae.